UGUCUACUUGGAAAAAGGCUGUAUGCAUGCUUAAUGCGUAUUUCCCCCCAAGUUCGGUGAAUGACCACAGAGACUUUGACACAGAAGCCCCUUCUAAACACUAACCACACCAGCAGGAAACCAACACUAACUCUCAAUAUUACUACGUUAGAAUGAACUCAUGAAGAGCAAUUUCAGAAUAUUUACAGUGUCAUUUACAUUUAUUAUUUUUUUUCUUUUGCUAGAAAUGUAUGUAAAAUAUUAGCUAUGUACAUAUACAUUAUAAGCUACUAUUUUAAUACAUUAAACACUUUUAAUUUAACAAUUUGUUAAUUAUGUAUUACCAGAAGCAUUAAAAUGAGGUGAAAGUGAAACAGACUUUACACAAAUUAAACACUGUAGUCACUGAUGUAAUAGUCAGUCAAUAUAUCAUUUGCAAAGUUCAUUCAUUAUUUAUUUUAUUCUUCAUUAUGUGAACAUCUUGGUACUUUCCACUGUAAGACACACCUGCACUAGCAGUGACCGUGCUCUCAUGAUCAUGUAAACAACUGAAUUUAAGAAAGCUGUGAAUGUUUCUUUUUAAACACAAUGGUUGCCCAUGAGAUGAUGAGGGGGUCUUUUGUUUCCGAGCGGACAGGUGAUAGUUUUGCGGUAGGAAGCUCUGAUGCUUAUUUUCCCCCCUGUGAGUGUUUAUAAAAGUGUAAGUAGUGGUGAGCUGAGGUAAUACGCAUCAGACUCACAAGAGAAGAUGAGGUGUGUUUCGGUAACCCUUCUGCUGUGCCUGGCUACAAUGCUGCUCGCUCAAGUUAACUGCCAAAUAAGUGGCCGGGCAAAUUGCCUUUGUCUCAAGACAUCAAAUCGGGUUCCUCGCAAGGAAAUAAUUGAAUGCUACAUGAUACAAAAUGCAGGCGUCUGCCAUAUUGAUGCUAUUUUAUUUAAAACUGUCAGAGGUCGUUUUGUUUGCGCUGAUCCAAAAAUCCCUUUGGCCAUUGUUGCCAGGAAUUAUGUGGAUAACAAGAAAAAGGCAACAAAAGCCCUUCCCGUAAACUCUGCAUCAAUAUUUAAAACAGCAUCAAUGCUGAAUACCACAUCACGAUGGAAUACAACGGGAUGAACUAAGAACUACUUCAGUUGAUCUAUCCAAAUUUUUAACAUAUAUCUGUGAUGUUUGUGUUGGAUUUUAUGUUAUUUGCACAUGGUUCA
Long non-coding RNA from Carassius carassius (crucian carp), 1182 nucleotides. RefSeq lists it as uncharacterized. The record is from RefSeq and is a predicted model, not a curated record. NCBI's taxonomy places the organism in Eukaryota, Metazoa, Chordata, Actinopteri, Cypriniformes, Cyprinidae. The transcript has 3 exons.